GCCGGAGUGGCGGAAUUGGCAGACGCAGCGGAUUCAAAAUCCGCCGAGGUAACCCCUCGUACCGGUUCGACCCCGGUCCCCGGCACCA
Molecule: transfer RNA, 88 nt
Filed under: Deltaproteobacteria bacterium
Lineage: Bacteria; Pseudomonadati; Myxococcota; Myxococcia
Also listed under: 2 other names
Description: tRNA-Leu
Rfam family: tRNA
About the family: Transfer RNA (tRNA) molecules are approximately 80 nucleotides in length. Their secondary structure includes four short double-helical elements and three loops (D, anti-codon, and T loops).
Source: RNAcentral